GAUGAACGCUGGCGGCGUGCUUAACACAUGCAAGUCGAACGAAGCACUUUAUUUGAUUUCCUUCGGGACUGAUUAUUUUGUGACUGAGUGGCGGACGGGUGAGUAACGCGUGGGUAACCUGCCUUGUACAGGGGGAUAACACCCGGACACGGCCGCUAAUACCGCACAAGCGCCCAGCACCCCAUCAUCCCGCGUGAAAAACUCCGGUGGCAUCAGAUGGACCCGCGUUGGAUUAGCUAGUUGGUGAGGUAACGGCCCACCAAGGCGACGAUCCAUAGCCGACCUGAGAGGGUGACCGGCCACAUUGGGACUGAGACACGGCCCAAACUCCUACGGGAGGCAGCAGUGGGGAAUAUUGCACAAUGGGCGAAAGCCUGAUGCAGCGACGCCGCGUGAGCGAAGAAGUAUUUCGGUAUGUAAAGCUCUAUCAGCAGGGAAGAUAAUGACGGUACCUGACGAAGAAGCACCGGCUAAAUACGUG
Molecule: ribosomal RNA, 481 nt
Filed under: uncultured bacterium
Lineage: Bacteria
Description: partial 16S ribosomal RNA
Rfam family: Bacterial small subunit ribosomal RNA
Source: RNAcentral